This 440-nucleotide ribosomal RNA is filed under the name uncultured bacterium. RNAcentral's name for it is "partial 16S ribosomal RNA". It matches the Rfam family "Bacterial small subunit ribosomal RNA", at positions 338 to 795 of the family's 1533-position model. The record is from RNAcentral.
CCUACGGGAGGCAGCAGUAGGGAAUUUUGCGCCAUGGGCGAAAGCCUGACGCAGCAACGCCGCGUGAUCGAGACGCCCUUCGGGGUGUAAAGAUCUGUCAGUGGGGACGAAACUUGACGGUACCCACCGAGGAAACACCCGCCAAGUCCGUGCCAGCAGCCGAGGUAAUACGGGGGGUGCAAGCGUUGUCCGGAAUCAAUGGGCGGAAAGAGUUCGUAGGCGGCACGUAAAGUCUGAUGUUAAAGGCAGAGGCUCAACUUAUUUAGGGCAGUGGAAACUGGCGAGCUAGAGUGCAGUAGAGGUAAAGGGAAUUCCUGGUGUAGCGGUGAAAUGCGUAGAUAUCAGGAAGAACAUCGGUGGCGAAGGCGCUUUACUGGGCUGUAAUUGACGCUGAGGAACGAAAGCCAGGGUAGCAAAUGGGAUUAGAUACCCUUGUAGUC